UGGGGCGUGGCCAAACGGUAAGGCAGCGGUUUCUGGUACCGAAGAUUGUAGGUUCAAUUCCUACCGCCCCAGCCA
Molecule: transfer RNA, 75 nt
Filed under: Candidatus Saccharimonadota bacterium
Lineage: Bacteria; Candidatus Saccharimonadota
Description: tRNA-Gln
Rfam family: tRNA
About the family: Transfer RNA (tRNA) molecules are approximately 80 nucleotides in length. Their secondary structure includes four short double-helical elements and three loops (D, anti-codon, and T loops).
Source: RNAcentral